RNAcentral lists this ribosomal RNA (1372 nucleotides) under uncultured bacterium. Its description in RNAcentral is "bacterial SSU rRNA". It matches the Rfam family "Bacterial small subunit ribosomal RNA", at positions 28 to 1381 of the family's 1533-position model. The record is from RNAcentral.
GAUGAACGCUGGCGGCGUGCCUAAUACAUGCAAGUCGAGCGAACGGACGAGAAGCUUGCUUCUCUGAUGUUAGCGGCGGACGGGUGAGUAACACGUGGAUAACCUACCUAUAAGACUGGGAUAACUUCGGGAAACCGGAGCUAAUACCGGAUAAUAUUUUGAACCGCAUGGUUCAAAAGUGAAAGACGGUCUUGCUGUCACUUAUAGAUGGAUCCGCGCUGCAUUAGCUAGUUGGUAAGGUAACGGCUUACCAAGGCAACGAUGCAUAGCCGACCUGAGAGGGUGAUCGGCCACACUGGAACUGAGACACGGUCCAGACUCCUACGGGAGGCAGCAGUAGGGAAUCUUCCGCAAUGGGCGAAAGCCUGACGGAGCAACGCCGCGUGAGUGAUGAAGGUCUUCGGAUCGUAAAACUCUGUUAUUAGGGAAGAACAUAUGUGUAAGUAACUGUGCACAUCUUGACGGUACCUAAUCAGAAAGCCACGGCUAACUACGUGCCAGCAGCCGCGGUAAUACGUAGGUGGCAAGCGUUAUCCGGAAUUAUUGGGCGUAAAGCGCGCGUAGGCGGUUUUUUAAGUCUGAUGUGAAAGCCCACGGCUCAACCGUGGAGGGUCAUUGGAAACUGGAAAACUUGAGUGCAGAAGAGGAAAGUGGAAUUCCAUGUGUAGCGGUGAAAUGCGCAGAGAUAUGGAGGAACACCAGUGGCGAAGGCGACUUUCUGGUCGGUAACUGACGCUGAUGUGCGAAAGCGUGGGGAUCAAACAGGAUUAGAUACCCUGGUAGUCCACGCCGUAAACGAUGAGUGCUAAGUGUUAGGGGGUUUCCGCCCCUUAGUGCUGCAGCUAACGCAUUAAGCACUCCGCCUGGGGAGUACGACCGCAAGGUUGAAACUCAAAGGAAUUGACGGGGACCCGCACAAGCGGUGGAGCAUGUGGUUUAAUUCGAAGCAACGCGAAGAACCUUACCAAAUCUUGACAUCCUUUGACAACUCUAGAGAUAGAGCUUUCCCCUUCGGGGGACAAAGUGACAGGUGGUGCAUGGUUGUCGUCAGCUCGUGUCGUGAGAUGUUGGGUUAAGUCCCGCAACGAGCGCAACCCUUAAGCUUAGUUGCCAUCAUUAAGUUGGGCACUCUAAGUUGACUGCCGGUGACAAACCGGAGGAAGGUGGGGAUGACGUCAAAUCAUCAUGCCCCUUAUGAUUUGGGCUACACACGUGCUACAAUGGACAAUACAAAGGGCAGCGAAACCGCGAGGUCAAGCAAAUCCCAUAAAGUUGUUCUCAGUUCGGAUUGUAGUCUGCAACUCGACUACAUGAAGCUGGAAUCGCUAGUAAUCGUAGAUCAGCAUGCUACGGUGAAUACGUUCCCGGGUCU